UUGCUGUAAAAGUCUAGUUUGGUUCUUCUGAUGAAAACUGAUCCUGAGUCUGUUUCGUUCCGUUUCAGCGUCUCAGACUGCGUUGAUCAUCAGACUGGUUGUUGCCCUGCUGGUUCUGCUGGGGACCGGUUCUGGUCCUCUACUUCAAGACCAGGAGAAGCCAGAAGUCUGGACCGUCAUGAGGCUGAAGCGGACUGCGGUCUGGAGGAACCGGAUCAGGAUCUUCAUUUCACAUCCAGACCAGGAAGCAAAGGCCCAGUCCAGACUGCUGCUGUCUGCUUUUAGUGUCACUGAUUCCAAAACUGAUCCUGCACUAAUGUAACCCUGAUCUGUCUGAUUUUGUGACCAAACACAUACAGUACAGUUGAUUGAGUGUUUGGAGGGCUCCCCCUAGUGGUGACUGACCGUGUUGGCAGGAUGUCUUUGUUUCUGCUGCUGGUCUCAAUCAGGUCUGGAUGAAACUUCUAACUGAACUGAUUCAGUUUCAAUAAAAACCAAGCAGAAAAUGAACUGCAACGAUG
Molecule: long non-coding RNA, 521 nt
Organism: Xiphophorus hellerii (green swordtail)
Lineage: Eukaryota; Metazoa; Chordata; Actinopteri; Cyprinodontiformes; Poeciliidae
Exons: 2
Source: RefSeq, a predicted model, not a curated record